Long non-coding RNA from Capsicum annuum, 761 nucleotides. RefSeq lists it as uncharacterized. NCBI's taxonomy places the organism in Eukaryota, Viridiplantae, Streptophyta, Magnoliopsida, Solanales, Solanaceae. The transcript is spliced from 4 exons. The record is from RefSeq and is a predicted model, not a curated record.
UUGAAAAAAAAUUCCCGGUUCUGUAUGAAAUUAUCCAAAAUUUUCCCUCUUUUUUUAAUUCAUAGCUUUUAUUUCUCCCAAAUAUCCCUCUCUCAUUUCCCCCAAAUCAGCCCCUCUCAUUCCCCCAAAUUGACUCCGUCGGCCGAUCAUUACUACUCCGGCCGGCGAUUGCAAUUGAGCUGGACUCCGAGGUUGGUGCAAAGUAGUAGUUGUCCAACAUACUGAUGACAAAGUUAAAGAUUUGCUGUUGCGAAUACAAAAUAAUGAGCAUGACUGUUAUCCACUUGCGGUCAAGGCGGAGGCAACAUUAGAUAGCCAAAGUGGAGCAAAGGAUGGAAGUGCAGCAUUGGGAUCCACUAAUUCAAAUAUUACUCAGGCAGUUUUUGAAAAGGACAAAGGUAGUACCAUGUUUGGGUAGCGAAGUAGAUCCUCUGGGUUAAUGGCAUGAGGUAUGAGUUGCAAGAGAUUUUCCGGAUUGGUAAUUCAGUUGAAAGUGACUUUGAUGGAAAUGAUCUUGGGAAAAAAUGUGUGAUAUGCCUCUCUGAACCUCGCAAUACUACUGUACUUCCGUGUCGGCACAUGCCAAGCGAUGUAGCUAGUGGACCCAUUUUGCCCAUGGAUGCAAAGAGAUCACGUGAUGAUAAUGAUCCUAAUGACAUUCUUUGAUUUUGUUGCAUUUGUCUUGGAUAUUUAAUUAUGAUGAUGUAAUUGUGUGGUUGGAGUGAAUCUUAGAAUAUUGAAGGUUUUGUGUUUAAAUUUGA